This 156-nucleotide ribosomal RNA is filed under the name Fucus spiralis. RNAcentral's name for it is "Fucus vesiculosus var. spiralis partial 18S ribosomal RNA". It matches the Rfam family "Eukaryotic small subunit ribosomal RNA", at positions 1677 to 1831 of the family's 1831-position model. Lineage: Eukaryota; Phaeophyceae; Fucales; Fucaceae. The record is from RNAcentral.
CGCACCUACCGAUUGAAUGUUUCGGUGAAGAUUCCGGACUGGAACGUGAGCGCUUCACGGCGCUUGGGGGAAAAGGAAGUUAUCUAAACCUCAACAUUUAGAGGAAGGUGAAGUCGUAACAAGGUUUCCGUAGGUGAACCUGCGGAAGGAUCAUUA